GCGUGGAAGCUGAUCGCAUGGUCUUCUGGGAAGCUUUCGCGGUAUGGGAUGGGGUCGCGUCCUAUCAGCUUGACGGCGGGGUAACGGCCCACCGUGGCUUCGACGGGUAGCCGGCCUGAGAGGGCGACCGGCCACAUUGGGACUGAGAUACGGCCCAGACUCCUACGGGAGGCAGCAGUGGGGAAUAUUGCACAAUGGGCGCAAGCCUGAUGCAGCGACGCCGCGUGAGGGAUGGAGGCCUUCGGGUUGUAAACCUCUUUUAUCGGGGAGCAAGCGUGAGUGAGUUUACCCGUUGAAUAAGCACCGGCUAACUACGUGCCAGCAGCCGCGGUAAUACGUAGGGUGCAAGCGUUAUCCGGAAUUAUUGGGCGUAAAGGGCUCGUAGGCGGUUCGUCGCGUCCGGUGUGAAAGUCCAUCGCUUAACGGUGGAUCCGCGCCGGGUACGGGCGGGCUUGAGUGCGGUAGGGGAGACUGGAAUUCCCGGUGUAACGGUGGAAUGUGUAGAUAUCGGAAAGAACACCA
Molecule: ribosomal RNA, 522 nt
Filed under: Bifidobacterium longum subsp. infantis
Lineage: Bacteria; Bacillati; Actinomycetota; Actinomycetes; Bifidobacteriales; Bifidobacteriaceae
Description: bacterial SSU rRNA
Rfam family: Bacterial small subunit ribosomal RNA
Source: RNAcentral